Molecule: non-coding RNA, 114 nt
Organism: Acanthosepion pharaonis
Lineage: Eukaryota; Metazoa; Mollusca; Cephalopoda; Sepiida; Sepiidae
Source: the annotation of a GenBank genome assembly
UUAUGGCCACAUCAUGUUGAAACACUGAUUCCCAUACAAUCACUGAAGUUAAGCAACAUCGAGCCUGGCCAGUACAGAGAUAGAUGACUUCUUAGGAAUACCAAAUGCUGUAUG